GAAAUGCGAUAAGUAAUGUGAAUUGCAGAAUUCAGUGAAUCAUCGAAUCUUUGAACGCACAUUGCGCCCGCCAGUAUUCUGGCGGGCAUGCCUGUUCGAGCAUCAUUUCAACCAUCAAGCCCCCGGCUUGUGUUGGGGACCUGCGGCUGCCCGCAGGCCCUGAAAACCAGUGGCGGGCUCGCUGUCACACCGAGCGUAGUAGCAUACAUCUCGCUCAGGGCGUGCUGCGGGUUCCGGCCGUUAAAAGCCUUUUUUACCCAAGGUUGACCUCGGAUCAGGUAGGAAGACCCGCUGAACUUAAGC
Molecule: unclassified non-coding RNA, 303 nt
Filed under: plant metagenome
Description: partial contains 5.8S ribosomal RNA, internal transcribed spacer 2, and large subunit ribosomal RNA
Rfam family: 5.8S ribosomal RNA (bases 1-105)
Source: RNAcentral